RNAcentral lists this unclassified non-coding RNA (395 nucleotides) under soil metagenome. RNAcentral's name for it is "partial contains 5.8S ribosomal RNA, internal transcribed spacer 2, and large subunit ribosomal RNA". The stretch from base 1 to 120 matches the Rfam family "5.8S ribosomal RNA", at positions 35 to 154 of the family's 154-position model. The record is from RNAcentral.
GAUGAAGAACGCAGCGAAAUGCGAUAAGUAAUGUGAAUUGCAGAAUUCAGUGAAUCAUCGAAUCUUUGAACGCACCUUGCGCUCCUUGGUAUUCCGAGGAGCAUGCCUGUUUGAGUGUCAUUAAAUUCUCAACCAUUAUCAACUUUUGCUGAUAGUGGCUUGGAUGUGGGGGUCUAUUUUGCUGGCUUCUCAGAUAGUCAGCUCCCCUUAAAUGCAUUAGCCGGUGCCCCGCGUGGACUGUCUAUUGGUGUGAUAAUUAUCUACGCUAUGGACAUCUGCAAUCAUAUGGGUUUGCGCUGCUUCUAACAGUCUGUUGAUUCAGACAAUACAUGACAAUUUGACCUCAAAUCAGGUAGGACUACCCGCUGAACUUAAGCAUAUCAAUAAGCGGAGGA